This 345-nucleotide long non-coding RNA is filed under the name Aotus nancymaae (Ma's night monkey). Its description in RNAcentral is "lncRNA (ENSANAG00000038732.1)". The record is from RNAcentral. Lineage: Eukaryota; Metazoa; Chordata; Mammalia; Primates; Aotidae.
UCAUAUUUCAUUUCGUUUCCAUUUUCUGACUUCCCUUACAGUUGGAGGUGGCCGAGUCCUUUCUGGUAGAGGUUGAGAUGAGUGAUGUGUGGCAUUUCCAGACCAAAGCUGUGCCCUCCUUCCAUGGCAGAGGCUGAGGAAUGGCAGAGUGCACCAUGCCGGAGCUCCCAUCCUUCCACCCCCAUGUGGACGGCUUCACACUGGCGUGAAUCCCUGUGCCUCCACGCGCUGCAGACCCACCCAGCAAGUCUCAUGAGCAAGAGGAAGCUGUCAGCCCCAGAAGCCACCUCCUCCCGGCUGAGUUCUCUCUUUGGUCAAGUUUCGGGGAGCCCAGCAGUCAAAUAA